Molecule: ribosomal RNA, 497 nt
Filed under: uncultured bacterium
Lineage: Bacteria
Description: partial 16S ribosomal RNA
Rfam family: Bacterial small subunit ribosomal RNA
Source: RNAcentral
GAUGAACGCUGGCGGCGUGCCUAAUACAUGCAAGUCGAGCGAACAGAUGAGGAGCUUGCUCCUCUGACGUUAGCGGCGGACGGGUGAGUAACACGUGGAUAACCUACCUAUAAGACUGGGAUAACUUCGGGAAACCGGAGCUAAUACCGGAUAAUAUAUUGAACCGCAUGGUUCAAUAGUGAAAGACGGUUUUGCUGUCACUUAUAGAUGGAUCUGCGCCGCAUUAGCUAGUUGGUAAGGUAACGGCUUACCAAGGCAACGAUGCGUAGCCGACCUGAGAGGGUGAUCGGCCACACUGGAACUGAGACACGGUCCAGACUCCUACGGGAGGCAGCAGUAGGGAAUCUUCCGCAAUGGGCGAAAGCCUGACGGAGCAACGCCGCGUGAGUGAUGAAGGUCUUCGGAUCGUAAAACUCUGUUAUUAGGGAAGAACAAAUGUGCAAGUAACUAUGCACGUCUUGACGGUACCUAAUCAGAAAGCCACGGCUAACUACGUG